Molecule: small nucleolar RNA, 75 nt
Organism: Electrophorus electricus (electric eel)
Lineage: Eukaryota; Metazoa; Chordata; Actinopteri; Gymnotiformes; Gymnotidae
Source: Ensembl
CUCUAUGAUGAAAACCUCGAAUAGGAAGUGCCGUCUUAUGCGACAUCUGACGACUUUUUUACUACUGUUCUGAGA